This is a non-coding RNA of Cricetulus griseus (Chinese hamster), 3390 nucleotides long. Lineage: Eukaryota; Metazoa; Chordata; Mammalia; Rodentia; Cricetidae. The record is from RefSeq and is a predicted model, not a curated record.
GGGUCGGAAGCAUGGCAAGAAGGACGUGGACCGAGGAGAGCCGAUCGUGGGGCCAUUGGAUGAGCCCCGAGUUUCGUGAGCCUCUGGUCUAGCUGCUAGUGCUCGCGUCCCUCAUAAUCAGCUCUGUGUCUAAUGAAGUUUGGGGCUGGGCUGUGACAUUACCUGGCCACCGCCAAAAUCUGUUCCUUGCGGAAGAGCCUGUCCCUUUCUGCACCAUGUGGCCGUGGAUCAUCGGGUGACUUCUCAGCACCAAAGACACAGGAGUAGAGCACUCGGCAAAGGCCUGUAUCUUCCAAAUUCGGGGCCCUCAAGGUGUGGAUGAGGAAGGCAUGGACCAUGGCUCCAGAUGGAUGGGUGCUCCAGAGACCUAGGAGGUGAAAGUGAAGCCCCCACUUAGGAGGCACCCUCAAGAAGGGUGUGACCUGAGAGUGUGUCCAGAAAGUGUGAUGGUUGGACACUGAUCACUUAUCUACUUAGAUAUGCCUAACCAUUGAAUAAUGUAGUGUCUUGUCUGCAUGACAGAACAAGGCCCCAUGGCUGGAAAUAUCUCACACAACACUAAACCUACUUCUGCAAAACUAUCCGGAAAUCUCCAAAGCAUCAAGGUCAUGAGAGUGCAGGAAAAACUGACGGGCUGAAGGAAAUCAGAGACCACAGCUGAAUGUAAUGCCUGCUCCUGAAACAAAAAUAACCCAGACUUCACACCGGGCACCAUGAAGACAACUUUAAGUAUGGAGUAUGAGAUGGAAGUCUGGAUCGAAGCCACUUGGUUUUGAAUAUAGGAACGUGUCUUUGUUUUAGAAAAUACACAAGAAAAUACCUCUAAAUGCCGUAUCUGCAAAUGACUCUGAUCAUUUGGGAGAAAAAGUACAGAGAGUGUGAGACAACCCUUAUCCAAAGGCAUCUAUCUAGUUAACCAAAACUAUUUCAAAAAUAAGACAUGGUGGCACAUACCUGAAAUCCCAGCACUCGGGAGGUGCGGGCAAGAGGAUCAGAAAUUCAAGUCAGUCACAGAUACAUGGGGAGUCCCUUGCUGCUCUGGACAACAUGGGACAGUGGCGACCCCGGGGUCGCAAGGCUGAGAGGACUCUGUGGUUAGCCCCGGUUAAGGCUAACCAGAUCAAGAAUUCAAAGUUACCCAACAGGAAAGUUCGCAAACCCGCUUCAGGAAGAGAAGUCAGAUUUGUAAGACUUGACCUCUGGUCACCUUUCUGCCGCCAGCAGGGCGCGUAAUCAUUCCCGGCCCCACUUACGUCACUGCUCCGCGCCGGCAUCGGCGCGCUGGACUCUGGGGGUUAUAGUGCGAACGCAGCCCUGGCCAGGCCUGUUGUCAGGAUGUGGCGCCCUACUUCGCAAGGGCGAGCAGGCUUCUGAUCAGCCGACCCCGCAGCUGCGAGAGCGCGCUGGAGGGUUCGGGGCGCGGGCGAGCUUCUUUGGAGGCGCUAGAAAGCCCUUGACUAGCUGCGGCCUGGGCACCGCGAGGAUGGCCGCCAGGGGGCGGUGAGGCCGCCGCGAACUGACCGGAACUUUCCACGGAUGCCGCUGCACCGCUAACCCCAAGCUACGCUGUGUGCAGUGGCAGCCCAUGUCAAGACCAAAACCACUGGAGAACUGACCUUGUGUGGGAUGUCUAGAGAAGAGUGCAUUGAGCAUUUGUCCUGGAAGACAGUGGAGGACCCGGAUGAGUGUGGUACCACAGAAGGCCUCCCUGGUGAGCACUGGGGGCAGGCAGCAGUGGAGGUCUCGCCUGAUGGUUUUGCUUAAGGGCUGUUGUGGGAGUGCCCUGGGAGAUCUUUUCCUUGUGGCCACUGGCCUCUUCUGAACCUGUGCUUCAGAGUCUGUUGGGCCCACCUGGAAAUAUUCACCCAUGCGGGGACUCUGACAUGGCCCAAAGCAGCCAGUUCGGUAGUGUCCACUUCAUGUUAGCCAUACUGAAAUAAUCAUUUACUUUGUAUUCUUUUGUUGUUGUUUCUCUCUGUAUAGCCCUGGCUGGCCUCAAACUCAGAGAUCUGAAUGUCUCUGCCUCCCAAGUGAUGGGAUUAAAGGCAUGAGCCGUCACUGCCCAACUUGAAUUCUGGUUUUAAAAUGAACUAAGAGCCAGAAAGUGCAUGCCUUCAAUCCGAGCACUGGAGAGGCAGAGGCAACCAGUUGAGGAAACAUAGUGAGAUCUUUCUCAAAAAGAAAUAAAUAAGCUAAGAAUGUAAUAGAAUCCUUUUCCUGCACUGGAAAGAUACACGACUUGAGUUAAGCAUGGUUCAGAUUUAUAAUAUAAAAAGAAAGUUGGGCAUAGCCUCUCCUUUGGCAGAUGACUAAGUCACACAUCACAGUGCUGAAUGGAAAGUAUUUGGAGCAUGAGCUCUGCUUCCCACAGCAGCCAGCAUGGAGGGAAGAGAGGAAGAAGGGAGAGCUUGAACAAGAUGGUGAAGGAUGGACAUGACCUGAAAGGGAAUAGAGAGCCUAAUAUGAAAGCAAGAAUGCUUUCCCUGGGGAGACACAAACAAACCUGACCUGCUUUUGUACAGAGCAUGAUGACAAAGCAGAGAUUGCACCAGAGCCCAACUUGGGGAAAGCGUGAGUUCCACCAGCCUGUUUAUUAUGCACACACAGCGGGAGCGGCUGGAUAGUCUCAGUAGGCAGUCUCUGGAGGUGAACAGUCUCAGGCUGUACCAUCCAGGAGGAGGACACCAGAGUUGCUAGUCCUUGCACACACUGAUUGAUCGGUCAUAAACACUUACACACUGACUCCUUGGGAAAGAUUUGCCAUCCCUCUCAUGCCUGGCCCAAAUGUGUUUUGCAAAUUUCCCGUGAGUCAAUUGGAGUAUUUGACAGGCUGUGCCCUUGUCAAAAUACGCAUUCACUUGGGACUUCCCUCACUCACUCAGUGCUUCCUCCCCUCCCUAUGGGAAUGGCAACAAUCAACAAGCCUGAUCUUGGGAGUCUCUUGCAAAGACUCAUGGCUAUUCUGAUGAAAAUGAUGGCUGUUCUACUUUGGAGGAUAGCAUUCAACAACAGGUUCAAAUGCUUGGAAUCACAGCACUUGGGAGGUAAAGGCAAGAAGAUCAUGAAUUCAAGGCCAGCCUCAGCUACAUAAUGAAUUUGAGGCUAACCUGAGUUACUCAAGACACUGCCUAAAACUGGGGGUCAGGAGGAGGAAAGUGUGUUAUCCAUUCAUGAGCUGAGGACAGUCCUCUUAGUACUUCUAGCAGGUUCUAUGCAGAUAAGUGCAGUAGCCACAGCAGGUAGGAGUUUACAAAAAAGGAGCAACAAGCCUGGCAGGGUGGUGGUGGCACUCACCUUUAAUCCCAGCACUUGGGAGGCAGAGGCAGGCAGAUCUCUGUGAGUUUGAGGCCAGCCUGGUCUACAAAGUGAGUUCCGGGACAGUCAGAGCUG